This 209-nucleotide ribosomal RNA is filed under the name uncultured bacterium. RNAcentral's name for it is "partial 16S ribosomal RNA". It matches the Rfam family "Bacterial small subunit ribosomal RNA", at positions 1293 to 1500 of the family's 1533-position model. The record is from RNAcentral.
UCGGAUCGCAGGCUGCAACCCGCCCUGCGUGAAGUCGGAAUCGCUAGUAAUCGCGGAUCAGCAUGCCGCGGUGAAUACGUUCCCGGGCCUUGUACACACCGCCCGUCACACCAUGAGAGUCGGGAACACCCGAAGUCCGUAGCCUAACCGCAAGGAGGGCGCGGCCGAAGGUGGGUUCGAUAAUUGGGGUGAAGUCGUAACAAGGUAUC